UAAGACGAACCGUGCGAACGUUGUUCGGAAUCACUGGGCUUAAAGGGCGCGUAGGCGGGUAUUCAAGUCAGGGGUGAAAUCCUCCAGCUUAACUGGAGAACUGCCUUUGAUACUGGGUGUCUCGAGUGAGGUAGGGGCGUGCGGAACUGAUGGUGGAGCGGUGAAAUGUGUUGAUAUCAUCAGGAACUCCGGUGGCGAAAGCGGCGCGCUGGACCUUUACUGACGCUGAUGCGCGAAAGCUAGGGGAGCAAACGGGAUUAGAUACCCCGGUAGUCCUAGCCCUAAACGAUGAGAACUAGGUAGUAGACUUGACAUGGGUUUACUGCCGAAGCAAAAGUGCUAAGUUCUCCGCCUGGGGAGUAUGGUCGCAAGGCUG
Molecule: ribosomal RNA, 376 nt
Filed under: uncultured bacterium
Lineage: Bacteria
Description: bacterial SSU rRNA
Rfam family: Bacterial small subunit ribosomal RNA
Source: RNAcentral